AUUUGAAGGACAAGAAGCCAACUUCAAUACUGAGACAGAAUAUCUCACUGCAUCUAAGGCAGCACACCAGUGCAGGGAGCCCAAGAGAAGCUAUGUGGUGAGAGAAGGAAAUGGCGGGGGGUGGGGUCAGGAGGAUCAGCUGCAGCGUCUGCCUCCUGAGGUGGUUAUUCUGCCUUAUUCCGCCUUAUUUAGCCCUGGACUCUGUAUUCAACAAGGGGCAUUUUUGUUUUUACCUACUUGAAUAAUUUGGUGUCAUCAACAAACCCAGCCACCUCCUCAUUCCUCACCCCUAUUUCCAGAUCAUUCAUGACCAAUUUCAAUAAUGAUGUCUGGGGGACUCCACUUUUUAAAUCCCUCCAGUGUGAGAACUGCCAACUUAAGGGUGUAUGUUGGAUCAAAUAAAGGCUUGGCCCAAGACAGUGUGAGAAUUGGCAACACGAGAGUGGGCCCUUUCGGCAGUGGCUCCCUGCUUGUGGAAUGCUCUCCCCAGGGAGGCUCACCUCAUGCCUUCAAUACAUGUCCUUAGGCACCAGGCAAAACCAUUCCUCUUCUCCCAGGCCUUUGGCUAAUUAAACAAUCGACAGUCUUUAAAACUGCUUUUGUGGGGUAUUGUUUUCGUUUGUUACUAUGGUAUGUAUUUUUGUGUUCUAUUCUGUUAGACGCCCUGUGAUCUUCAGAUGAAGGGUGGUAUAGAAAUAAUCAUCAUCAUUUUCUUUAAGUGGAGAAGAAAUACUUCACUCCCCACUUCACUCUUACCCAAAGCUCUGAAAUAUUCAGAUGGAUCUUCUGAACCAACAUGAUAGAUAGAAAGUGUGGAGGGAGGAGUGUCUGGCAUUUGCAAUGAAAUUCCUUACACUCUCUUUGUAAGUGCUUCCAUAAAGAACCUUGAUAUCUGUUCCAUUACAUGAAACUUCCCAGAAAAGCAAAGUCACUGUAAAAAAUAUAUCAGCCAGCCAGUAGGUUGGCAAGUACUUCACAGAAUUUAAGUUCCUUACUCUUCAUGGCUACUCAUAUCUUCUCUUUUACUAUAUGCUUUAACAGAUUUACAUUACUGGUAACUGAGCCAUACCUUAUAUACUGGGGGGAAAACAACCCAAACUUAAAAUGGAAAAGCUAUGAGAAUUUAUUAGGUCUCUGGAUUAUGCUACAGCAAAAUGUUAAAAUGAACGAGUUAUCUUCAAGCAAUCCAAAAUAUUUGAAAGAUAUCUAGACAAUGGCAUCAUGCAAUUUGAACCAACUAGAACAAGAAGUUAAGGCUUUUGAAAAAAACCUCUUGGCUUGUACAUUCUGAUAUUAUCCCCAUUAUUCUCCUCCUCUUUUAAUCCUCACCACACCCCUGCCACAACUGGCCCAAGGUCACUCAAUGAGCUUCAUAGCUAAAUGGGGAUUUGAACCCUGGUUUCCCCUAGGUCCUACUUCAACACUCUAAACCACUACACCACAAUGCCAUUGUCAAGGUAAAUGAGAGUAAUACUAAGACAUAAGUAAGUAGCCAACAAAUAUAUCAUCGGUUUUGACAGCAUGUGAGCAGCUGGCAAAAGCAGAUAACAUUUUAGAUACAUAUUUUAUGCAACCCUAUAGGUAUUUAAGAUAUUUAUAGUGCGAUCCUAAUCAGUAAUAUCUAUUUAAUCCAAUGAUUAUAUAUUCACAGGUAAAUGGGAUAAGGAUGGCUGCAUUAGAUCCUGGAUUUCCACCAUUUAAGACAGAAAUUGGCAACUUGUGGCUCUCAAGAUGUUGCAGGAUGACAACCCACAUCCACUCCAGCCAACAUGGCUAAGUCCAAAGCCACGCCAGAGUAGUCUGAACAUUUUCAGACAAAUUACAUACAAGACAAUUGUAGAGAUGAAGUGUAUCCUCUUUUAAACACUCAGAAUGGUAAAGGC
Molecule: non-coding RNA, 1883 nt
Organism: Podarcis lilfordi (Lilford's wall lizard)
Lineage: Eukaryota; Metazoa; Chordata; Lepidosauria; Squamata; Lacertidae
Source: the annotation of a GenBank genome assembly